GUAACCGAAGGAGGCGACAAGUGCGAGGUUAGAGAGGCACCCAGGAGGACGGGGGAUAAAGGCAGCAGCCCACCUUUGAGCAGGCCUCUUGUUCAGAACAAAUGACAUCUCACCAGACUUCUCCAUCAACUGCUUCAUCCAGAAUAACACAUAUAGCUGCUGAACUGGAAUAAGUUCGGGGAACCUUCUAGUAGCCCAGCGCAGUGACAUGAACCGCCUCCCUGAUGGAUGCACCUUCUGAAGUGUGGUGAGCCAGCUACUUCCAGGUGGGGGAAGGCGAUGAUGGGGAAUGCUUCCGCAAGAAAGGGUGGGAUUCACACGUACCACAGAGCAGAUUCUCCUCCUUUCUUUCUGUCCUGCACCUUUCAUGGUCAUGAGUUCACUGCAGUUCUGGAG
Chroicocephalus ridibundus (black-headed gull) is the source of this 396-nucleotide long non-coding RNA. RefSeq lists it as uncharacterized. Lineage: Eukaryota; Metazoa; Chordata; Aves; Charadriiformes; Laridae. The record is from RefSeq and is a predicted model, not a curated record. The transcript has 3 exons.